GAUGAACGCUGGCGGCGUGCCUAAUACAUGCAAGUCGAGCGAACAGACGAGGAGCUUGCUCCUCUGACGUUAGCGGCGGACGGGUGAGUAACACGUGGAUAACCUACCUAUAAGACUGGGCUAACUUCGGGAAACCGGAGCUCAUACCGUAUAAUAUAUUGAACCGCAUGGUUCAAUAGUGAAAGACGGUUUUGCUUUCCCUUAUAGAUGGAUCCGCGCCUCAUUAGCUAGUUGGUAAGGUAACGGCUUACCAAGGCAACGAUGCCUAGCCGACCUGAGAGGGGGAUAGGAGACACUGGAACAGAGACACGGGCCAGACUCGGACGGGAGGCAGGAGUAGGGAAUCAUGCGAAAUGGGAGAAAGCAAGACGGAGCAAUGGCGCGUGAGUGAAGAAGGUAAUCGGAUCUGAAAACACAGGUAUUAGGGAAGAACAAAUGUGUAAGUAACUAUGGAAGUAUUGACGGUACCUAAGGAGAAAGCAACGGCUAACUACGUG
This 497-nucleotide ribosomal RNA is filed under the name uncultured bacterium. Its description in RNAcentral is "partial 16S ribosomal RNA". It matches the Rfam family "Bacterial small subunit ribosomal RNA", at positions 28 to 507 of the family's 1533-position model. The record is from RNAcentral.